UGUCUGUACUCAGUACUUAAUCGAUUAGCUCUCAUCCAACUACGGUUCAUACCUACGUUUCGAAAUUAAUGCAUUCUAAGUUAAAGCAAUGACUAGGUUGUUACUAUUGCGAAACAUUCUCUCGCCCUAUUUUAAUAGAAAUUCAUAGCCUAUAACAGAAUUUGCAUAUAGCAGAAUUUUUACAUAGUAAUUUGCAGUGCAUCUAAGUUUAUAGCUUCUAAGUUUUGAAAUAGAAACGGUACCUGUAGAUGAGACCGUGAUUGAACCUUCUAACUUCGAACAGAACACGAACAACCAACGAACUAUCAACCCAAACUUCUAAACUGCACAUAA
RNAcentral lists this long non-coding RNA (333 nucleotides) under Trifolium pratense (red clover). RNAcentral's name for it is "long non-coding RNA (TPRA_LNC013163)". The record is from RNAcentral. Lineage: Eukaryota; Viridiplantae; Streptophyta; Magnoliopsida; Fabales; Fabaceae.